GGAAGGAUAGUCCAGUGGUUAGGGUACUAGCCUGGGACUCUAGAAACCAGAGUUGAGUUCCCUAUUUUACCA
This 72-nucleotide transfer RNA is filed under the name Chelonia mydas (Green sea turtle). It matches the Rfam family "tRNA". Rfam says of the family: Transfer RNA (tRNA) molecules are approximately 80 nucleotides in length. Their secondary structure includes four short double-helical elements and three loops (D, anti-codon, and T loops). Lineage: Eukaryota; Metazoa; Chordata; Testudines; Cheloniidae. The record is from Rfam by way of RNAcentral.